AGUGAUGUAUACUUAGCUUCUUUGAGUGUAAAGGAAUGCCCAAGUACUUGAAAGGGAGAUGCCCUUCACUGAAUCCCAAGUCCUCAAGAAUAGCCUCUUAUUCAAUCUGAGAAAUGCCAGCAAAAUAUAUAGCACUCUUAAACUUGUUGGCUGAAAGUCCAGAUGCUGCAGAGAAUGAUAAGAAUGCAUCAUGCAGUAAUUGAAN
Molecule: long non-coding RNA, 205 nt
Filed under: Nicotiana benthamiana
Lineage: Eukaryota; Viridiplantae; Streptophyta; Magnoliopsida; Solanales; Solanaceae
Description: long non-coding RNA (NBEN_LNC023653)
Source: RNAcentral